GCAGAUGCAGGAGGACAGUGAAUAAAGCUGUUCAAGCAGAGAAGCUGGUGGGUGAGUCAGAGCAUGGCUGGCCUGAGAGGAAGUCGGGCAUCCAGAGGAAGAGCCUUUGCUUCUGGGUAAACAAGAGGACCACAGUGCCAGCUCUUCAGUUAUCUGCAUCUCGCCAGGAAGGCCGAGCCUCUCCAAGCUGGGUUCUGAUGAAGUUGCUCUUUCAUCUGCAGGACCCUCUUGGCAAGAAUUCGGGCAGCACACUGUGAAUCCAAGUGCCAAGACAACUUCUGCAAACUCCAGGGUUGAGACAGCCCACAGAAAAGGCUGUGCCACCAAAACUAAGGGCUGCCAACAUCAUCCAUGCCUUCCCAACCCAUCCUGCUGGCCACUGCUCCACCUCCACAGGUGCUCACAUGUGUGUUCUACAACCUCACAGAUGUCUGCAUCUUGUGAUUUUUCCAAGGUAUGUGUCCCGUUCCUUUUGGGAAAAGUCUCACCCUUUUUGUUCUGUUGUGAUGGAAUCAUGAUCUUUGGAGGCUCCUUUGGAGGAAAUCUGCAAACUUGGAUCAGCCCAGCCCAACC
This 573-nucleotide long non-coding RNA is filed under the name Fukomys damarensis (Damara mole-rat). RNAcentral's name for it is "lncRNA (ENSFDAG00000025464.1)". The record is from RNAcentral. Lineage: Eukaryota; Metazoa; Chordata; Mammalia; Rodentia; Bathyergidae.